This 421-nucleotide long non-coding RNA is filed under the name Homo sapiens (human). RNAcentral's name for it is "HSALNT0366959". Lineage: Eukaryota; Metazoa; Chordata; Mammalia; Primates; Hominidae. The record is from RNAcentral.
AUUCUCCUGCCUCAGCCUCCUGAGUAGCUGGCACUACAGGAGAGAAACUUGAAGAGCUUGAAGAAUGUUACCAAGAAUGAAAAAGUUUGAAGAUAGGGGAGUUGGAAGGAAUACCUGGUAGAGGACAUUCUUGAAGGUGUGGAAAUAGAGUCUAGAACACAACUGAAUAAAGAGAGCUCCCCAUUUUGUGAGAUUGGAGGUGAAGAGGGAAAUUUGUGGAAAGAGGAACUUGGCAAGGAUGACCAAGGGGAACCCAGCCCACGGCCACGGACCUGUUAGGAACCGGACUGCAGAGCAGUAGGUGAGUGGCAGGUGAGUGAGCAAAACUUCAUCGGUAUUUACAGUCACUCCCCAUCGCUCUCAUUACUGCCCGAGCUCUGUCUCAUGUCAGAUCAGCGGUGACAUUAGAUUCUCAUAGGAG